Long non-coding RNA from Suricata suricatta (meerkat), 881 nucleotides. RefSeq lists it as uncharacterized. The record is from RefSeq and is a predicted model, not a curated record. The transcript is spliced from 3 exons. NCBI's taxonomy places the organism in Eukaryota, Metazoa, Chordata, Mammalia, Carnivora, Herpestidae.
UUUGCUGAGGAGGGGGUCUCCCCACCUAUCCACUUCCUCAGGGCUCCUUCCUGCUUCCCUAGCCCUUCCGUCCAGGCGCUCAUCAAUCUCACCCAAGGUGCUGAGCAUCCGGCAGGCCUUCUCAGGCCAUGACUCACUUCCUGUUUCCGGGAGCUGGAAAUAGGGCUCCCUCCCCAGGCAGCUGCUCAAAGUCUCCCCCAGCCUGUGCCCCCACCCAGGCCUGUGCGUUCACCACUAAUUACCCAAGUCUGUGUUCUGGUGGACGUGAAACCAGCCGGAAGAUCCUCUCAUCACUCAUUUAGGGCUGUAAUGCACCUACUGGGAGGGUCUGGCCAUGGGGCAGCAGCAAAGAACAGGACAGAUGAGGACCUGCCCCUGAGGCAUCUGCUGACGUUAAUUAAAUAAUUGUCUAACUCCGUGGGCCAGGAGCUCUGUGCAGGAUGGGGAAACAGAGGCUCAGAGGGAGAAGGGCUCUGACCAAGAUCCCCCCCAAGUUGGGAAUCGGCAAGGCAGGAUGUGAACAAGGAUCCCUGUGGUCCCACAGCCUCCCACGCUGUUCUGCUCAGGGACUGAAGUGGCUUUCUUCUGCCCAAGGCCCUCAGCUGAGGGGAUGGAGGUGUGAAAACUGAGACCCAAAGUGGUGAAGGGAUUCACUCUGGGUCACAUAGAUAGAAAGCAGAUAAGUGGGAUCUGAAGCCAGGUCCAAGGACCACAGGGCAACAACUCUACGGCCUUGACUGGGGUUCGCCUGCAUUCUCACUGGGCCCCACUCCUGGAGAAAAGAGAACAGCCAGACCUGGGUAAAAUUUCCAGCUCUUACUUGAACAACUUGAUGGCCUGGAGGAAGUCACUUUCCCUCUCUGAGCCCAGGCUUCACAGUC